AGUCUGAUGGAGCAACGCCGCGUGAGUGAAGAAGGUUUUCGGAUCGUAAAGCUCUGUUGUUGGUGAAGAAGGAUAGAGGUAGUAACUGGCCUUUAUUUGACGGUAAUCAACCAGAAAGUCACGGCUAACUACGUGCCAGCAGCCGCGGUAAUACGUAGGUGGCAAGCGUUGUCCGGAUUUAUUGGGCGUAAAGCGAGCGCAGGCGGAAAAAUAAGUCUAAUGUGAAAGCCCUCGGCUUAACCGAGGAAUUGCAUCGGAAACUGUUUUUCUUGAGUGCAGAAGAGGAGAGUGGAACUCCAUGUGUAGCGGUGGAAUGCGUAGAUAUAUGGAAGAACACCAGUGGCGAAGGCGGCUCUCUGGUCUGCAACUGACGCUGAGGCUCGAAAGCAUGGGUAGCGAACAGGAUUAGAUACCCUGGUAGUCCAUGCCGUAAACGAUGAGUGCUAAGUGUUGGGAGGUUUCCGCCUCUCAGUGCUGCAGCUAACGCAUUAAGCACUCCGCCUGGGGAGUACGACCGCAAGGUUGAAACUCAAAGGAAUUGACGGGGGCCCGCACAAGCGGUGGAGCAUGUGGUUUAAUUCGAAGCAACGCGAAGAACCUUACCAGGUCUUG
This 612-nucleotide ribosomal RNA is filed under the name Lactobacillus sp. oral taxon 461. Its description in RNAcentral is "bacterial SSU rRNA". It matches the Rfam family "Bacterial small subunit ribosomal RNA", at positions 380 to 983 of the family's 1533-position model. Lineage: Bacteria; Bacillati; Bacillota; Bacilli; Lactobacillales; Lactobacillaceae. The record is from RNAcentral.